RNAcentral lists this small nuclear RNA (107 nucleotides) under Tursiops truncatus (common bottlenose dolphin). Lineage: Eukaryota; Metazoa; Chordata; Mammalia; Artiodactyla; Delphinidae. The record is from RNAcentral.
GUGCUCGCUUCAGCAGCACAUAUGCUAAAAUUGGAAUGAUACAGAGAAGAUUAGCAUGGCCCCUGCACAAGGAUGACACAGAAAUUCGUGAAGCGUUCCAUAUUUUU